GAUGAACGCUGGCGGCGUGCCUAAUACAUGCAAGUCGAGCGAACAGACGAGGAGCUUGCUCCUCUGACGUUAGCGGCGGACGGGUGAGUAACACGUGGAUAACCUACCUAUAAGACUGGGAUAACUUCGGGAAACCGGAGCUAAUACCGGAUAAUAUAUUGAACCGCAUGGUUCAAUAGUGAAAGACGGUUUUGCUGUCACUUAUAGAUGGAUCCGCGCCGCAUUAGCUAGUUGGUAAGGUAACGGCUUACCAAGGCAACGAUGCGUAGCCGACCUGAGAGGGGGAUCGGCCACACUGGAACGGGAACACGGUCAAGACUCCUACGGGAGGCAGCAGUAGGGAAUCUUCCGCAAUGGGCGAAAGCCUGACGGAGCAACGCCGCGUGAGUGAUGAAGGUCUUCGGAUCGUAAAACUCUGUUAUUAGGGAAGAACAAAUGUGUAAGUAACUAUGCACGUCUUGACGGUACCUAAUCAGAAAGCCACGGCUAACUACGUG
Molecule: ribosomal RNA, 497 nt
Filed under: uncultured bacterium
Lineage: Bacteria
Description: partial 16S ribosomal RNA
Rfam family: Bacterial small subunit ribosomal RNA
Source: RNAcentral